This 2729-nucleotide long non-coding RNA is filed under the name Rattus norvegicus (Norway rat). Its description in RNAcentral is "long non-coding RNA NONRATT031536". Lineage: Eukaryota; Metazoa; Chordata; Mammalia; Rodentia; Muridae. The record is from RNAcentral.
CUACUCCCUGUGUACAGUGCCCGCUUGUAUCUCAGACUGAGACCAUGCACUGGGUCACAUGUCUAAACAUAAGAUAAACCACACCUUCCUCCAAAAUGCACGAUGGGAGAUGAGCCUUAUUCUGCCAGAUAGUUUAAAUGUCAACUCGCUACAGCCUAAGAUUAUUUGGAAAGAACUUUAAUUCAGGAAUUGAGGAAUUGCCUAGAUCAUGCUAGAUUGUGGGCAUUUCUGGGGUUGGGGUGGGGUCUUUAUUGUUAACUGAUAUACCCAGUCCAUUAUGGGCGGCACCAUUCCCUGUGCUGGUAGCCCUAAAGUGUAUAAGUGAAAAGAGUUAGCUGAGCACAGGAAACCUAGCAGGCAGUAGAGAUGUGUCCAUUUCUCUACUCUUGACUAACUACCUGCUCUGAGUUCCUGCCUUAACUCCCCUCAACUGAAAGACUGUUCCCUGAGACUGUAAGCCAAAUAAGCUCUUUUCUCUUCUAGGCUGCUUUUGGUUUAUCGUAACAAUGUAAGUAAAACUAGACACACACCUUCCUCCAAAAUACCUGUUAGGUCCUAGAAAGAGCAGACUCUUCUCUCCAUCCACCAAGAAUGGGAGCAUCAAGAGAUUCAGUGGUUACAAGGAACUUCCUAAGCAUCUCUGCCAGAGGCCAGAAGAGCCCUGCAAUGCUGCGCGAAACUCAGAUCCAGGGAGCAAGAGACACAGAGGCCACCCCAUGGUACUUUGAAAAACUGAGGCAAAGUACACAUGGGACGUGGGCUUCCUUGUCUCAUCCUCUGUCCGCCCGCUGAGAACAAGGUUGUUUUGAAUGUUCUUAAGAGAUGGAUGUGUACCCACCUCCCCUCUGAGGGAAGAAGAAGCAGAACCUGGGACCGACCAGUAGCUGUGGCAGAAGAGGUCAGGCCUGCCAGUCAAGGACAGACGGUGUCCCAGGCAGAGGUUGUGAAGCCUGAGUAGGACCUAGGAGCCUCCUGCCCGAGCCCUAGGCCAGAGAGAACAGUGAGUAGAGGCCACAGUGGCUCCCGUGUCCUCCCAGACACUUUCCCGAUAAGCCAGAAAUUGCACAAACUUAGCCGUCUCAGAAUCUGAGGGCAGACACUUGCAGCAUCGCGGCAAACAUCGGGAACAGCAGUGUGCAUAGCUGCAUCAGAUCUGAGAACAUUUUACUCUCAGAGAGUCACACCGCGCAGGAUCUAAUGAUUCCAGCUGAGGCAGCACACGGAGGUGUCAGCAGCACAGUGACGUUGAGAGGCAGGGAAAGCUGAUCGUUAAAAAUAGGUGAAGCUGAGCCAAAAAACUUGAAAAAAGAAACAAAACAUUAUAGUUCAUACUGGAGAGAAACCUACUAGUGGAUCUGAAGUUGGGGUUUUAGAAGCGUGUGUGAUGCUGAUAACGAUGAGUUGUCCCACUGAGAGCUCUCUAAACUCCACGAAAAUGUGUUCGGUGGCCUACUGUGGCCUACAGGCAGAACCAUGUUUUCAUGAGUAGUUUUACUGGGAGCCACCACUCUCCUCUGUUUGCCUCUAUCUGUAGCAGCCUUCCCUCCAUGGCAUUGGUUGCGUGGCCCUUUCCAGACGUGCUCCCUGACUCAUUUACCAAAUAAAAUUUGAAUUAUCCUAUAAAUACUUGUACAGAAAAUUUGACCGAUGGAAUUAGAGAUGACUCUGUUGGUAAAGUGCUCAUGGUGCAAGCAUGAGGACCAGAGUUCGAAUCCCUACACCUACGUAAAAGCCAGGUGAAUUGAUACUUACUUCUGUGGUCCCAGUCCUGGGGAAGGAGACAGUCGGGUCUUGGAGUUUACUAGCCAGCUAGCCUAGCCAACAAAUCAGUUCCAAGUUCAGUGAGAACCCCUACUAAAGAGGAAAGCAAUGGAGAAAGGUGCCUGACUCAGCCUCAGCCCCAGACUUUGAGGCAGGUGGGAGAAAGCUCGGUGUUGACUUGACCAUCAGUGGCCUGUGAGUUAAUCGAUCAUGCCUUUGCAGUAAAGCUUCCAUGAAAACACAGGAUGGGGUUCAUAGAGCAUCCUGAGGGCAGAGCAUAUGAGAAGGACUGGAUGGUGUGGGCUGGGAGAGGGUCCUCCUUUUCUCCACACCUCACCAUAUGCCCGUCUUCAUCUGCAUCUUCUGACAGUGAGCUUGAGAAAGUGUUUUCCCAAGCUCUGUGAAUACAUCUUGCAAACUACUGAAACCUGAGGGGUUUGUGGAACUCCACAGAGAUCUGCUGCACUGAUGAGACCGCCUGGGGCUUUCAAUGGGCAUCUUAAACGGUAGGCCGGAUAGUUUUAUGUCUACUCCACACAGCUAAAGCCAUCUGAGAGGAGAGAACCUCAGUUAAGAAAAUACUUCCGGAAGAUCAGGCUGUAGGCAAGCCUGAAGGACAUUUUUUUAGUGAUUGAUGGCCAGCCUAUGGCCUGGGCUGGUGGUCCUGGGUUCAAUAAGAAAGCAGGCUGAGUAAGUCCUAAGGAGCAAGCUAGUUAGGAGCAUCCCUCCAUGGCCUCUGCAUCAGCUCCUGCCUGUAGGCUUCUGUCCUGUUCCUGAUCUGGCUUCCUUUGGUGAUAGAGUAUAAUGUGGAAAUGUAAACCAAAUAAAAAUCUUUUCCUCCUCAACUUGCUGGUUUUUCAUGGCAUAACCCUAACUAAAACACGAGGUGGUAGACAGUUGGAGACACCCCUCAACCUACGGGAUCUGACCAUUUAUCUAGGUAGUAUCAUAAGUCAAUCAAGUUAAAG